AGUGAACGCUGGCGGUAGGCCUAACACAUGCAAGUCGAACGGCAGCACAGUAAGAGCUUGCUCUUACGGGUGGCGAGUGGCGGACGGGUGAGGAAUACAUCGGAAUCUACUUUUUCGUGGGGGAUAACGUAGGGAAACUUACGCUAAUACCGCAUACGACCUACGGGUGAAAGCAGGGGAUCUUCGGACCUUGCGCGAUUGAAUGAGCCGAUGUCGGAUUAGCUAGUUGGCGGGGUAAAGGCCCACCAAGGCGACGAUCCGUAGCUGGUCUGAGAGGAUGAUCAGCCACACUGGAACUGAGACACGGUCCAGACUCCUACGGGAGGCAGCAGUGGGGAAUAUUGGACAAUGGGCGCAAGCCUGGUCCAGCCAUACCGCGUGGGUGAAGAAGGCCUUCGGGUUGUAAAGCCCUUUUGUUGGGAAAGAAAAGCAGCAGGUUAAUACCCCGCUGUUCUGACGGUACCCAAAGAAUAAGCAUCGGCUAACUUCGUG
RNAcentral lists this ribosomal RNA (492 nucleotides) under uncultured bacterium. RNAcentral describes it as "partial 16S ribosomal RNA". It matches the Rfam family "Bacterial small subunit ribosomal RNA", at positions 29 to 507 of the family's 1533-position model. The record is from RNAcentral.